Molecule: long non-coding RNA, 226 nt
Filed under: Sorghum bicolor (sorghum)
Lineage: Eukaryota; Viridiplantae; Streptophyta; Magnoliopsida; Poales; Poaceae
Description: long non-coding RNA (SBIC_LNC011981)
Source: RNAcentral
GGCACGUGUCUAGGAUGGCAGGAUAAGGUGGCAGUACGAUGUUGACAAAGCGGGUUGCCGAUGAGGAUGGUUGCCGAUGAGGAUGGUUGCCGAUGAGGGAGAAGUUGAAUGUGACAGGCAGUAAUGUGGUGCCGAUGGCUAGAUAAGAGAGUCUGCCGAUGACUAUGGCAAAGGGUCUGCCGAUGAUGCAAAGGAAGAGUUUGGAAGCUGCCGGUCGUUUUGUGGA